Molecule: non-coding RNA, 457 nt
Organism: Ciona intestinalis (vase tunicate)
Lineage: Eukaryota; Metazoa; Chordata; Ascidiacea; Phlebobranchia; Cionidae
Source: RefSeq, a predicted model, not a curated record
GUGUUGCGCAAUGCACAGUAAGGGGGAUUUCCCCCCGACUAAAAUAGAACAGACUCGAUUCUGAUUGGUCAACUUUUCACGAUGUUCGAGAAUGCCGAACCUGACCAAUCAAAAAAGGAAAAUACUUUGAUUGACAUAUUCAGGGGUGGAGCCUAUGUUGGGUCUAAACAGAAGCCCUAGGGCUAGGCCUAAAUCGAUGCCAAAACGUUUUUUUGGUCAUUCUCAGUUUCCAAAAUCAUAUGUUUUGCUUCUUUUUCAUUUUUUUGUUUCAAUAAUGACUCUUGUUUAACAAAAACCACAUAAAACCCAAGUAGUCCAUUGUUACGUAAAAGGCAAAUUGAACACCAAAAUAACACGGUGGGAAUAGGGAAUGGGCAUGUUUAGUCAAUGAGGGUAAUUUUAUGUAUAUUUUUUUUGCAAAAAAGAAAGUUAUUUAAGUAACGUUUAUAUAUAUAAA